GAUGAACGCUGGCGGCGUGCUUAACACAUGCAAGUCGAACGGACGGGCGCAAACUUUCUUGGUUACUCGAGUGGCGCACGCGUGAGUGACACACGUGUGAUCUGCCCUGAUCUUCGUGAUAAGCCUUGGGGACUGGGUCUAUUACCGGGUAGGACAAUGUGUUGGAUGUCGUUGUGGAGUGUUUUAUCGUUUUGGGGUGAGCUAGCGGCGUAUCAGCGAGUUGGUGGGUUAAUGGUUUACCAAGGCGUCGCCGCCUAACCGGCCUGCGAGGGUGAUCGGACACACUGGAACUGAGGCACGCUCCGGACUCCUACGGGAGGCAGCAGUAGGGAAGCUUGCACAAUGGGCGAAAGCCUGACGAAGCAAGGCCGCGUGAGUGAGGAAGGUCGUCGGAUCGCAAAACGCUGUUAUUAGGGAAGAACAUAUGUGUAAGGAACUGUGCACAUCUUGACGGUACCUAAUCAGAAAGCCACGGCUAACUACGUG
RNAcentral lists this ribosomal RNA (486 nucleotides) under uncultured bacterium. RNAcentral describes it as "partial 16S ribosomal RNA". It matches the Rfam family "Bacterial small subunit ribosomal RNA", at positions 28 to 507 of the family's 1533-position model. The record is from RNAcentral.